CAAGGCUUGACAUCCUUAGAAUCCUUAAGAGAUUAGGGAGUGCCCUUCGGGGAACUAAGAGACAGGUGGUGCAUGGUUGUCGUCAGCUCGUGUCGUGAGAUGUUGGGUUAAGUCCCGCAACGAGCGCAACCCCUAUAUUCAGUUGCCAGCAUGUAAAGAUGGGAACUCUGGAUAGACUGCCGGUGAUAAACCGGAGGAGGGUGGGGAUGACGUCAAAUCAUCAUGCCCCUUAUGUCUUGGGCUACACACGUGCUACAAUGGACGGUACAGACGGACGCGAAGCCGCGAGGUGAAGCAAAUCCGAGAAAGCCGUUCUCAGUUCGGAUUGUAGGCUGCAACUCGCCUACAUGAAGUCGGAAUCGCUAGUAAUCGCAGGUCAGCAUACUGCGGUGAAUACGUUCCC
This 403-nucleotide ribosomal RNA is filed under the name uncultured bacterium. RNAcentral's name for it is "bacterial SSU rRNA". It matches the Rfam family "Bacterial small subunit ribosomal RNA", at positions 975 to 1375 of the family's 1533-position model. The record is from RNAcentral.